AUAUCAAUAAGCGGAGGAAAAGAAACCAACAGGGAUUGCCCUAGUAACGGCGAGUGAAGCGGCAACAGCUCAAAUUUGAAAUCUGGCUCUCGGGCCCGAGUUGUAAUUUGUAGAGGAUACUUUUGAUGCGGUGCCUUCCGAGUUCCCUGGAACGGGACGCCAUAGAGGGUGAGAGCCCCGUCUGGUUGGAUGCCAAAUCUCUGUAGAGUUCCUUCAACGAGUCGAGUAGUUUGGGAAUGCUGCUCUAAAUGGGAGGUAUAUGUCUUCUAAAGCUAAAUACCGGCCAGAGACCGAUAGCGCACAAGUAGAGUGAUCGAAAGAUGAAAAGCACUUUGAAAAGAGAGUUAAAAAGUACGUGAAAUUGUUGAAAGGGAAGCGUUUAUGACCAGACUUGGGCUUGGUUAAUCAUCUGGGGUUCUCCCCAGUGCACUUUUCCAGUCCAGGCCAGCAUCAGUUUUCCCCGGGGGAUAAAGGCGGCGGGAAUGUGGCUCUCUUCGGGGAGUGUUAUAGCCCACCGUGUAAUACCCUGGGGGGGACUGAGGUUCGCGCAUCUGCAAGGAUGCUGGCGUAAUGGUCAUCAACG
Molecule: ribosomal RNA, 583 nt
Filed under: Fusarium oxysporum f. sp. albedinis
Lineage: Eukaryota; Fungi; Ascomycota; Sordariomycetes; Hypocreales; Nectriaceae
Description: LSU rRNA
Rfam family: Eukaryotic large subunit ribosomal RNA
Source: RNAcentral